Molecule: long non-coding RNA, 1498 nt
Filed under: Gossypium raimondii (Peruvian cotton)
Lineage: Eukaryota; Viridiplantae; Streptophyta; Magnoliopsida; Malvales; Malvaceae
Description: long non-coding RNA (GRAI_LNC006695)
Source: RNAcentral
GUUCUUCAUUUUUUUAUCACCAAAACUAGAAAAGAAAAUUAGGUUUGAAGCUUUGAAAUAUUCGGCCAUUGAAGACUUUGAUUAAGGUAUGUUUCUGUUUCGAUUUUUGAUAAUUUUUACGUUUUUGAGAUCGUUGUUUUAAAUACUUCAAAACCCAUGUCUUAAUUUUGUGAAUUGUUGAUGAUUUUGAAAUGUGUCAUUUAUGAAUGUUUGAGUUUCAUGAUGUUAGUUGAUGAAAUAUGAAAUAUAAGUGUUAGAUAAACAUGUUUUGUCUUUAAAUUUUUGGUGAAUUUGAGUAAUUAGGGCUAAAUUGAGAAAAAUAAUUUUUUGAGGGACUAAAAUGCGAAAUAAAUGACAUGCAUAGACUUAUAUGAGCUUAGUGCAUAUUCGGCCAAGCUAUUGUGCAAUGAAAAUUUAAUUAUUUUGUAUUUUGUGAAAUAAGGACUAAAUUGUGAAAAAUGUGAAAUGUCAGGGGAAAAAAUGUAAUUUUCCAAUUUAUGUGUUCUUAGACUAAAUUAAAUGAAUAUAUGUUUAAAUAAUAUUUAUUUGAAUGUGUUUAGAUCAAGAAACCAAGAAAUCGGAUUUAGAUCGGGGGAAAUCGAAAGUAGUUGAGUAACCGAGCUAUUAGUCGACGACAUCCGAGGUAAGUUAUUAAGCAUAUAUUUUGAAUCUUUUUAAAUCAUCUUAGUAUCUAUGUAAUUAUGCUGAAUUGAAUGGUAUAUAUAUACAUGUAGUGAAAAAAAAAUUAUUGAAAUAAGAUGUAUUGAAUUGUUGACUUUCGGCACUAAGUGUGCGGGUAUAAAAAAAUUAUGAUAAUGAGAUUAGCACUAAGUGUGCGAGUUUAAUUGUAAAGCACUAAGUGUGCGAGAUUGAUUAUUAAGCACUAAGUGUGCGAGCUUAUUAAAUAUUUUCGAAUAACUAUUAGUAUUGAGUGUUGGACUUAUUGAGUAAUCAUGAUUAGUAUAAUGAGUAAAUAAUUGGAGUUCUUGAGUAAUAACCGUUGUGGUUGUAUCCAAGGUUGAGCUUUGUAAGUAUUAAACCUAUGUGGUGAUUAUAUUUGGAAUCAAAUAUAUAAGAUGAUUCUUUAUAUCACAUGAUGAUGAAAUGCUUGUAUUUAAAUUUGAAGAAAUGUUUAUGGUUGAGUAAUUAUAUUGAUUUUAGUUAAAUCAUAGUAAUAAGUUAAUAACUAUCUUAAGAUACGGUAAGUUAAAGGUAAGAUGAUUUAGUAGUAUGAAUUGGUUAAAUAUUAUUCGAGAUAUCAAGUUAAAUUGUAAAGUUUAUUACUUGUAACUUACUAAGCUAAAUUAGCUUACAAUGUGUUGGAUAAUUGUUUUUAUGUAUAGAUUUUGGUGAUCGCUACGUGUUCGUGGAUCGUUUGUGAAGCUUGUCACAGUAUCGUCUAUAUUUUGGUACUUUACUAAGUUGUUUUCGAAUAAAUGGCAUGUAUAGCGUAGUGGAAAUGUUGAUUUUGGAACCAAUGUAUAUAGGUGUAAUUAAU